This 253-nucleotide ribosomal RNA is filed under the name uncultured bacterium. Its description in RNAcentral is "partial 16S ribosomal RNA". It matches the Rfam family "Bacterial small subunit ribosomal RNA", at positions 524 to 776 of the family's 1533-position model. The record is from RNAcentral.
UACGUAGGUGGCAAGCGUUGUCCGGAAUUAUUGGGCGUAAAGCGCGCGCAGGCGGUCCUUUAAGUCUGAUGUGAAAUCCCUCGGCUUAACCUAGGAAGUGCAUCCGAAACUGCAGUGCUUGAGUACUUAAGAGGAUCGCGGAAUUCCCGGUGUAGAGGUGAAAUUCGUAGAUAUCGGGAGGAACACCAGUGGCGAAGGCGGCGAUCUGGGAAGAUACUGACGCUGAGGUGCGAAAGCGUGGGGAGCAAACAGG